GGGCAGGCUUAACACAUGCAAGUCGAGGGGUAUGCCGAUUUAUCGGCAGAGACCGGCGCACGGGUGCGUAACGCGUAUGCAAUCUACCUUUCACAGAGGGAUAGCCCAGAGAAAUUUGGAUUAAUACCUCAUAGUAUAGCAGUUUCGCAUGAAACCACUAUUAAAGUUCCAACGGUGAAAGAUGAGCAUGCGUCCCAUUAGCUAGAUGGUAAGGUAACGGCUUACCAUGGCUACGAUGGGUAGGGGGUCCUGAGAGGGAGAUCCCCCACACUGGUACUGAGACACGGACCAGACUCCUACGGGAGGCAGCAGUGAGGAAUAUUGGUCAAUGGACGCAAGUCUGAACCAGCCAUGCCGCGUGCAGGAUGACGGUCCUAUGGAUUGUAAACUGCUUUUGUACGAGAAGAAACAACAUUACGUGUAAUGUCUUGACGGUAUCGUAAGAAUAAGGAUCGGCUAACUCCGUG
This 467-nucleotide ribosomal RNA is filed under the name uncultured bacterium. RNAcentral's name for it is "bacterial SSU rRNA". It matches the Rfam family "Bacterial small subunit ribosomal RNA", at positions 40 to 507 of the family's 1533-position model. The record is from RNAcentral.